Long non-coding RNA from Heterocephalus glaber (naked mole-rat), 1833 nucleotides. RefSeq lists it as uncharacterized. The record is from RefSeq and is a predicted model, not a curated record. Lineage: Eukaryota; Metazoa; Chordata; Mammalia; Rodentia; Bathyergidae.
UCUCUAAAUUGACCAGGCUGGGCUUGAACUUGUGAUCCUCCUGCCUCAGCUUCCCAAAGUGCUGGGAUUCCAGAUUUGCACAGCCUCACCUGACAAACUGUGGGAGCCUGAGCCAGCCACUGCCCUUCUCUCACAUUCAAGCUGGGAAGAGGAGGCUCCAGGCAGGAACCAGCCAAGCCUCUUGGCAUCUGGACUUGGGCACCUACACUUUUCUUUGGCUGUGGGUCUGUCACACUCUUACAUGUUUUGUCCCUCCAUUUGUUCCAGUCUCUUUCCAAAUGUCACCUCCUCACCUUCCUGAGCCCCUGCUCAAAAUCUCUCCCCUCCCCUAGGUGCAAGACACACAUGACAUAGGUUUUGGAAAAGAGACUUUGAUACAUAUUCCACAUCAUAUGCUAGGGUGAAACCUAAAUGUAUCCACGUUUUACAUGUAAAAUCUGAAAGCACAAAAGUACCAGAAGAGAAAGGAAAGGCUGGGAAUGUAGCUCAGUGACAGAGCACUUGCCUAGCAUGGGCAAGAUGCUGCUGUGUUCCCUCUCCAGAAACAGAAACAGAGACAGAGAUAGAGACAAAGCGUGUCAGUGAGACAGAGAGAGAGAGAGACAGACAGACAGACACUGAAAGACAGGAGUAAGGGAGGACAAUCACUUGAGCCCAGGAGUUCAAAACCAGCCUGGCCCACAUAGUGAAGCUCCAUCUCUUAAAAAAAUAGUCAAGAGACAAACUGGUUAGUCAUCAGGGAAAUGCAACUCAAAGCCAUAAUGAAAGAGCUCCCACUAGGAUGUUAUAAUCAAAAUGAUGGAUAAUAGUAAUAAUUUUAAAAGCCCACAGGUAAUAACAAGUGUUGAUGAGGAUGUGGAGAAAGUGGACCUCUCAUUGUGGUUCUGCUGCUGGUGGUGGGAAUGUAAAACAGUGCAGCCACCUUGGGAAACUGCUGGUGAUUCCUCAAAAGAUUAAAUGCACUUGGGUUUCUUCUGAGGACCUGCAGUCUUCACCUUUCCCUGGCCAGCAUCUCCUGGCUUCCAGCACAGACCCUUCAGCCUUUUGACAGCAACUGGGAGGGGACACCUCAGGGGCUCCAGGCCUUCGACUGGACCCUUUGGGUCUCCAGCGCACAGACAGACCAUUUUCACCCUUCCACACUUGACUGUGUGGGAAAACGCUUAGCUCCAGCAUCCUGACUGGCAUGACAAGAUCGAAAAAGCCAUGGAUCUGGCGAAGUUCCACAUCAUGAUUGCGGUUCGAGAGGAGAUGCAGUUGGUCAAGGAACAAAUCUGGGACCUAGAGAAGGGCAAUGCCAUGCUUGAGCAGGAGAACCACCUUCUGCGAGGCCUGACCAGCCCUGAGCAGCUGGCCCAGUUGCCCUCCUCGAUGCUCUCCAGACUUGGGCUCCCCCCACCCAAUGGGGCCUUUCGUCUCCCACAAUUGCAGCCUUCUGGGGGCUGCAACUGAUGCCGAGCCUCAGGCCAGCUGCCUGUCCCUUCUUCCUGUACUGCUUUCGUGCCCUCUGAUCCCCAGGAUUGGGAGCUCAGCAGUGGCCUGCCCCCCUCCCCAGCCCGGUCUCCCCCAGUCCCAGGCCUUGAAGGAGGAGGGAGGGCUCAGCACAGGGUGGAGGAUGGAGCCCCCUCCCUCCCUAGGCCUCUGUUCUGGGUCCCCAGCAGUAGGUGGUUGGGCAGGAGGGGCUGGAGGCUUCCUGGCAGACCCCUCCCCAACUUAUUUUCCCAAAAUGACCCCUCUCUGCUCCUCAGGAAAGUGCAUAUGGACAGUAUCUGGAUGUUGCAGGAAUCACCUUGUUUUUGAAAUAAUACUUAUAAUUUAAAAAUCUGAAAAAAA